Capra hircus (goat) is the source of this 1227-nucleotide long non-coding RNA. RefSeq lists it as uncharacterized. The transcript has 4 exons. The record is from RefSeq and is a predicted model, not a curated record. NCBI's taxonomy places the organism in Eukaryota, Metazoa, Chordata, Mammalia, Artiodactyla, Bovidae.
GCUCUGACCUUUUCCCUCCCUUCCCCCCUCUUUUAUCCAGGUUCUCACAGUUUCCCUGAGGAAGAAAUGGAGGCAGCAGGAAAGGACGAAGGAGUCCCCCAUUUCCAACCUCAGAGACCCCACACCUGCCCUGGAAGCUGCCUUCUCUCGUGGUCCCCCACGGGUGUGGGGCAGAGAGGCCAGGCCGGUGCUGGACAGUCUGGCUGCCUCUGUCCCUCUCCCUGCCCAUCUGGGCCUGGCGCGGAUGCGCUGCUUGUGUCCUUGCUAUAAACAGCUGCCCGCCUGGCACAGAGGACUUCUGCUGGCCCCCGCCCCAGGCCUGCGGGGCUGUUUACUCCGCCGCCCCCUCCCCCAUGGCACAAGGCAGAGCGCUCACUUAGAUUAAUUAAUCUGCUGCCCGGCCUGCUCCUCCGGCCCAUCUUUUAUUCAUGGACAAGCGGCAUUCUCUGCUUUACCAGGACGCGGGCAUCAAUAUUUCAUCCUUGCUUCGCCUGCCAGCGUCCGCUCCCUCCUCCCUACUUCUCACCGGCUCUAGGACCCGGAGAGCUGGGCCAUGCUGGCCUGACCCAGGGCGUCAUCACAGAUGUCUACGCUGCCUUCAGCUUGCCUGCCGUGCCAUCGUGGACUCCAGAGUCUGCACAAGAAGCCCUUCUGAACCAGGUGUCGUUGGUUUUUUUCCACUCCCAGGCCUAGGCAGGUGGAUGAAGGAAGCAGCACGGCUGUUCAGGAGCACACAUCCCUCUGGCCAGCCCCCAGCCCGUCUCAUCUUGUCCACUUGAGGUCACAGAGGAAUGCGCUGCGCUCUGCCCGGGGGUUCCUGGCAGAGUGUGGAGCCGGGAUGGAAGCAGUCACUCUCAGGAGGCCUUUGGGCAGACUGUGGUCCUUUCUCAGGCCGGUGGCCAGCUCUGCAUUUCUGGGUUGGGACUGGGGUUGAGGACGCCUGCUGAGACCUAUGCCCUGGGAAAACGUCAGCCUGUGUUGAGAAACUGAUCUUCAGUCACGCAUUUAUUCCAUAUUCAGAAAAGGGACACUCAUCCCAGGUCUGCGUGGCGUCUGGUGGACUGGCCCGGGACACCGGGCAGUGGCUGGCCGGCGCUUCCUCCUGGUCCCUCUUCUGCACCCUGGCUCUCUGGCUCUGGCACCUUCACCUCUAGCUCGGUGACUUUGCUGCCUGCUUCCUUCAGUCCCUUCUGGACCUGCCUUCUCACUGGCAUGGCUGAAGAUGGG